Small nuclear RNA from Jaculus jaculus (lesser Egyptian jerboa), 107 nucleotides. Lineage: Eukaryota; Metazoa; Chordata; Mammalia; Rodentia; Dipodidae. The record is from Ensembl.
GUGCUCGCUUCAGCAGCACAUAUACUAAGAUUGGAAUGGUACAGAGAAGAUUAGUAUGGCCCCUGCACAAGGAUGACACACAAAUUUGUGAAGCAUUCCAUAUUUAA